Heteronotia binoei (common prickly gecko) is the source of this 164-nucleotide small nuclear RNA. RefSeq annotates it as U1 spliceosomal RNA. The transcript has a single exon. Lineage: Eukaryota; Metazoa; Chordata; Lepidosauria; Squamata; Gekkonidae. The record is from RefSeq and is a predicted model, not a curated record.
AUCCUCACCUGGCAGGGGAGACACCAUGAUCAAGAAGGUGGUUUUCCCAGGGUGAGUCUCAUCCCUUGCACUCUGGGUGUGCUGACCCCUGCAAUUUCCCAAAUGCAGGAAACUCGACUGCUUAAUUUGUGGUAGUGGGGGGACUGCGUUCAUGCUUUCCCCUA